GUCUAUGGUCAUACCACCCUGAACGUGCCUGAUCUCAUCUGAUCUCAGAAGCUAAGCAGGGUCGAGCCUGGUUAGUACUUGGAUGGGAGACCAGCAGAGCCGGCCCUCCACUGGUU
Molecule: ribosomal RNA, 116 nt
Organism: Otolemur garnettii (small-eared galago)
Lineage: Eukaryota; Metazoa; Chordata; Mammalia; Primates; Galagidae
Source: Ensembl